CCAGACUCCUACGGGAGGCAGCAGUGGGGAAUAUUGCACAAUGGGGGAAACCCUGAUGCAGCGACGCCGCGUGAGCGAUGAAGUAUUUCGGUAUGUAAAGCUCUAUCAGCAGGGAAGAAAAUGACGGUACCCGACUAAGAAGCCCCGGCUAACUACGUGCCAGCAGCCGCGGUAAUACGUAGGGGGCAAGCGUUAUCCGGAUUUACUGGGUGUAAAGGGAGCGUAGACGGCGGUGCAAGCCAGAUGUGAAAGCCCGGGGCUCAACCCCGGGACUGCAUUUGGAACUGUGCUGCUAGAGUGUCGGAGAGGCAGGCGGAAUUCCUAGUGUAGCGGUGAAAUGCGUAGAUGUCAGGAGGAACACCGGCGGCGAAGGCGGCCUGCUGGACCGUGACUGACGUUGAGGCUCGAAAGCGUGGGGAGCAAACAGGAUUAGAUACCCUUGUAA
Molecule: ribosomal RNA, 445 nt
Filed under: uncultured bacterium
Lineage: Bacteria
Description: bacterial SSU rRNA
Rfam family: Bacterial small subunit ribosomal RNA
Source: RNAcentral